AGCAGUAGCCGCGGGAAUACGGAGGAUCCAAGCGUUAUCCGGAAUCAUUGGGUUUAAAGGGUCCGUAGGCGGUCUUGUAAGUCAGUGGUGAAAGCCCAUCGCUCAACGGUGGAACGGCCAUUGAUACUGCAGGACUUGAAUUAUUGGGAAGUAACUAGAAUAUGUAGUGUAGCGGUGAAAUGCUUAGAGAUUACAUGGAAUACCAAUUGCGAAGGCAGGUUACUACCAAUUGAUUGACGCUGAUGGACGAAAGCGUGGGUAGCGAACAGGAUUAGAUACCCCGUAGUCCCUGUCUCUUAUACA
RNAcentral lists this ribosomal RNA (303 nucleotides) under uncultured bacterium. RNAcentral's name for it is "partial 16S ribosomal RNA". It matches the Rfam family "Bacterial small subunit ribosomal RNA", at positions 507 to 808 of the family's 1533-position model. The record is from RNAcentral.